CAGCCGCCGCGGUAAUACGAAGGGUGCAAGCGUUACUCGGAAUUACUGGGCGUAAAGCGUGCGUAGGUGGUGGUUUAAGUCCGUUGUGAAAGCCCUGGGCUCAACCUGGGAAUUGCAGUGGAUACUGGGUCACUAGAGUGUGGUAGAGGAUAGUGGAAUUUCCGGUGUAGCAGUGAAAUGCGUAGAGAUCGGAAGGAACAUCUGUGGCGAAGGCGACUAUCUGGGCCAACACUGACACUGAGGCACGAAAGCGUGGGGAGCAAACAGGAUUAGAGACCCCCGUAGUCCCUGUCUCUUAUAC
Molecule: ribosomal RNA, 301 nt
Filed under: uncultured bacterium
Lineage: Bacteria
Description: partial 16S ribosomal RNA
Rfam family: Bacterial small subunit ribosomal RNA
Source: RNAcentral